GGUUAAGCGACUAAGCGUACACGGUGGAUGCCCUGGCAGGUCAGAGGCGAUGAAGGACGUGCUAAUCUGCGAUAAGCGUCGGUAAGGUGAUAUGAACCGUUA
Molecule: ribosomal RNA, 102 nt
Filed under: Escherichia coli
Lineage: Bacteria; Pseudomonadati; Pseudomonadota; Gammaproteobacteria; Enterobacterales; Enterobacteriaceae
Description: partial 23S ribosomal RNA
Rfam family: Bacterial large subunit ribosomal RNA
Source: RNAcentral